UGGGGAAUAUUGCACAAUGGGCGCAAGCCUGAUGCAGCGACGCCGCGUGAGGGAUGACGGCCUUCGGGUUGUAAACCUCUUUCAGCAGGGACGAAGCGAAAGUGACGGUACCUGCAGAAGAAGCACCGGCCAACUACGUGACAGCAGCCGCGGUAAUACGUAGGGUGCAAGCGUUGUCCGGAAUUAUUGGGCGUAAAGAGCUCGUAGGCGGUUUGUCACGUCGGCUGUGAAAACCUAGGGCUCAACCCUGGGCCUGCAGCCGAUACGGGCAAACUAGAAUUCGGUAGGGGAGACUGGAAUUCCUGGUGUAGCGGUGAAAUGCGCAGAUAUCAGGAGGAACACCGGUGGCGAAGGCGGGUCUCUGGGCCGAUAUUGACGCUGAGGAGCGAAAGCGUGGGGAGCGAAC
Molecule: ribosomal RNA, 406 nt
Filed under: uncultured bacterium
Lineage: Bacteria
Description: bacterial SSU rRNA
Rfam family: Bacterial small subunit ribosomal RNA
Source: RNAcentral